CUUGAAUAUUCGUCUGUGGCGAGGGAGCAGAUUGUGUGCUGUGUCCCUCUCCGAGCAAAGCAGGCUUUUGUGAGCACGGCGUAAGGCUGUCACAAGGCAGCAGAAGGGUGGAAACCCUCGAACCAGACCCAAUUUUAUGUGCCUGGACGUAAGCCUGGUGUUUUUCAGAUGUGUUGGGGUCACCAGACUGUCCAGAAGGACCUGAGACCUUUCUAGAGCAGCAGCUGGAGGCUAACCCAGACCAGAUUCUCCCACUGAGAGCAUGGGAGCAGCUUCCCAUCUAGCUGCUUGGGCUUGCGCUGCGAAGGACCAAAGAGACGGUGGGAAUGUGCUGGCAGAGCAGGACGUUGAGUUUCAACACAGCUGCCACAAUAGCAGUUUAAUAGCAGCUCUAAAGCGCCCGGCGCUGGUGUUCCUCCCACCCCACUGCCAGCCAGCUGGCUCAGCCCCAUGCCAGAGGAGGCACAAGGAGCACACACACACACACACACACACACACACACACACAUGGCUCCGAGGGCUCCUGGUGACUCCGAUGCCAGUCCCCCGUUGAAGAGGAUGCCAGGCCCCUCGGUGAGCCCACACUGGGCUACUUUUGCCUCUCUGUUUUGCAACGCCUUCGCAAAACAAGCCUGGUACAUGCGGCCAGGAAGGGGGGCAAGGGCUGGAAAGGCUGCAGGGCCCUGCUGAGCCAAUUAGCCGCAGGGUCCCCGAGCUGGAGCUGGGCCACCGGGGAGGGCAAAGAGGGGGCAUCGCGGGGCCAAGCACGGCGUGAGGCUGGCUGACUCCUGCAGCAAGGUCGGGCUCUCUCUGCUCCGUACCCCCCAGGGCUAUUUCAUCCCUCACCCACUGAUUAAUGCAAAAACAACCAUGGGAAAAGGAGCCCAGAUGAUGCUGGAUGCAGCAUCCCAAACAGUAGCUUGCCCAGCCAUCCCACGCCAGCCUGGUGAUGUGCAGAGCCAGCAGAGGAUGAAGGAGGCACUACUUUGUGCCUUGUCUGCUGGGUCCCCCAUGUCCC
RNAcentral lists this long non-coding RNA (1018 nucleotides) under Anas zonorhyncha (Eastern spot-billed duck). RNAcentral describes it as "lncRNA (ENSAZOG00000003506.1)". The record is from RNAcentral. Lineage: Eukaryota; Metazoa; Chordata; Aves; Anseriformes; Anatidae.